UCCUGCCAGUAGCAUAUGCUUGUCUCAAAGAUUAAGCCAUGCAUGUCCAAGUAUAAACACCUUUAUACAGCGAAACUGCGUACAGCUCAUUACAUCAGCUAUUAUUCAUUUGAAGAUUGAGCACUACAUGGUUAUAACCGUAGAAACGCUAAGGCUAAUACAUGCGCAAAGCCCCGACUGCGUGUAGCGGAAGGGGUGUAUUUAUUAGAUUCAGACCCGCCGGGGCAACCCGACUGUUGGUGAUUCAUAGUAACUGUUCGGACCCUUCUUCGGAAGGGCAAUUCAUUCAAAUUCCUGCCCUAUCAAGCUUCGACGGUAGUGUAGUGGACUACCGUACUAGUAACGGGUAACGGGGAAUUAGGGUUCGAUUCCGGAGAGGGAGCCUGAGAGACGGCUACCACAUCCAAGGAAGGCAGCAGGCGCGCAAAUUACCCACUCCUGACACAGGGAGGUAGUGACAAGAAGUGCGCACGAGAAGGGCCGCAAGGCCCUUUUCGAUGCGGAUGGGGGGAUUUGGUUAAAAAGUUCCCCGAAAGCUAUUCGAGGGCAAGUCUGGUGCCAGCAGCCGCGGUAAUUCCAGCUCGAAGGGCGUAUCUUAAAAUUGUUGCGGUUAAAAAGCUCGUAGUUGGAUUUUUCCGCUUCAGACCCGCGAUCCCUCGCGGUGGGCUUUGCCUGCCGAGAGUGGAGAGCGGCUGGGCGAUUCUUCGCCGAGGCGCAAUGGGUUAAACCAUUGUGUUUCGGCAACUACUUUGAGAAAAUUAGAGUGUUUCAAGCAGGCAAUUAAUCAAUGCCGUGAAUACUACAGCAUGGAAUAGAACCAACGGGCUUUCGUCCUGCGCUGGUGGGUUCCUGGACCAAGUCAUGAUUGAUAGGGACGGUUGGGGGUGCUCGUAUUCCGCGGCCAGAGGUGAAAUUCUUGGAUUCGCGGAAGACGAACUAGUGCGAAAGCAUUCACCAAGUACGUUUUCUUUAAUCAAGAACGAAAGUUGGGGGAUCGAAGACGAUCAGAUACCGUCGUAGUCUCAACCAUAAACUAUGUCAACUGGGGGUGUUUCAUUGUUUGUUUGGGUUCAGUGCCAGGUCGCAAGAUCUGGCACUCCAAACGCGACGUGAAGCGAACCCAAUGGGAAACCAAAGUGUUCGGAUUCCGGGGGGAGUAUGGUCGCAAGGCUGAAACUUAAAGGAAUUGACGGAAGGGCACACCAGG
Molecule: ribosomal RNA, 1207 nt
Filed under: uncultured soil eukaryote
Lineage: Eukaryota
Description: SSU rRNA
Rfam family: Eukaryotic small subunit ribosomal RNA
Source: RNAcentral